CCUACGGUAGGCAGCAGUGGGGAAUAUUGCACAAUGGGGGAAAGCCUGAUGCAGCGACGCCGCGUGAGUGAAGAAGGAAUUCGUAAUGUAAAGCUCUAUCAGCAGGGAAGAAAUGACGGUACCUGAGUAAGAAGCCCAGGCUAACUACGUGCCAGCAGCCGCGGUAAUACGUAGGGGGCAAGCGUUAUCCGGAUUUACUGGGUGUAAAGGGAGCGUAGACGGGAGGACAGGUCUGGAGUGAAAGGCGGGGGCUCAACUUCGGGAUUGCGCUGGAAACUGUACGGCUGGAGUGUAGGAGAGGUAAGUGGAAUGUCUGGUGUAGCGGUGAAAUGCUUAGAGAUUA
This 343-nucleotide ribosomal RNA is filed under the name uncultured bacterium. RNAcentral's name for it is "partial 16S ribosomal RNA". It matches the Rfam family "Bacterial small subunit ribosomal RNA", at positions 338 to 699 of the family's 1533-position model. The record is from RNAcentral.